RNAcentral lists this ribosomal RNA (1512 nucleotides) under Triticum aestivum (bread wheat). RNAcentral's name for it is "partial small subunit ribosomal RNA". The record is from RNAcentral. Lineage: Eukaryota; Viridiplantae; Streptophyta; Magnoliopsida; Poales; Poaceae.
AUGUUCGAGUAUGUAAAUGUUGUCAGCAAGAUGUUUGAUAGUGAGGCUGAAGGCUAUGAAUUCUACAACAAAUAUGCUCUUGAAAAAGGUUUUAGUGUGAGGAAAAGCUACGUUGAGUGGGAUGGAUCCAACAAAUACAUAAUUUUAAGGAAAAUUGUGUGUAGUCGUCAAGGGUUUCACGAAGAUAAGCACAUGAAAAAAACGAUGGAAGAUAGAAAGAGGAGGCCACGAAGUUUAACUCGUGUUGGGUGUAAUGCUAAAUUGGUCAUUACGAGACAGGAGGAAACCGGUCGGUGGUUUGUCAAGGAUUUCAUCGAUGAGCACAGCCAUCCUCUAGCCCCACGGGAUCUUUCUUGUCUGCUGCGUUCGCACAGACGAAUUAGCGAUGAGCAGAAAGCGGACAUUGCGGACAUGGAAAAAUGUGGGAUCCGUAAAUACCGUAUUAUGGAUAUUUUGUGCUUUCAAUACGGUGGAUUUGAUAAGGUUGGAUGCAUAAAGAGGGACGUUUACAAUUUCUGCCAUGCUAAUAAGCAGGAGACAAUCAGUGCCGGUGAUGCUAAAACGGUGAUCAUGCACAUGAUGGCGAGGCGAGAGCGAGAUGUGGAUUUUUUCUUCAAGUACUUGGUAGACGAGCAUGGCCAUCUGAAGGGACUGUUCUGGGCUGAUAGUCAAUCGUGACUUGACUACGAGGCUUUCAGAGACGUCAUUGUUUUUGAUAGCACAUACAGAACCAACAAAUACAAUCUGCCAUUCGUGCCUUUUGUCGGGUUGAAUCACCACCGCAGCACUAUUAUAUUUGGCUGUGAUAUAAUUUCUCAUGAAACAAGCCAGGCAUACGAGUGGAUGUUGUGGACCUUUUUUGAUUGCAUGGCACAUAAGCAUCCGAUAUCUGUGAUCACAGAUGGGGACCUUGCAAUGCAGAGAGCAAUAAGGGUGGUCUGGCCAGACUCAAACCAUAGACUAUGUAUAUGGCACAUUCAGCAGAACAUUGUACGCCAUCUGCAUGAUGACGACGUAAAGAAGGAAUUCAGAUCUUUCAUUUAUGAUACUUCUUCCAUUGAAGAGCAUGAGAUAAAAUGGAUACAAUUCUUACAACGGAAUAAAGUAACUAAUGAGGAGUCUUGGCUGCAUCAGAUGUAUCAGAUGAGAAAGUUGUGAUGUGCUCCAUAUCUUGAGGGGCGUUGUUUCCUAGGAUUGAGCAGCAAUCAAAGGAGUGAGAGCUUGAACUCUGUGCUACAUACGCAUCUUGAGGGUAAGAUGUCGUUGUUUGAAAUGCUAGAGCACUAUGAGCGUUGCCUUGCGUCGCGACGGAUUAACGAAGCUCUCCAUGACGUCGAAGCCUUGCAGUCCGUUCCAUUUACAGAGGAAAAUGCUUCGCCGCUUGAGAAACACGCCGCAACAGUUUUCACACCUAGGGUCUUUAAGAUGGUCCUAUGGAGCAUAGAUGCUGUCAGCAAAUGUCAGAUUAGAGAGAUACUAGAUGGAUUAGAAGAUUCCACUUAUGUUGUGUCC